This 97-nucleotide transfer RNA is filed under the name Clostridium argentinense. RNAcentral's name for it is "tRNA-Sec". It matches the Rfam family "Selenocysteine transfer RNA". RNAcentral also lists the same sequence under 1 other name. The record is from RNAcentral. Lineage: Bacteria; Bacillati; Bacillota; Clostridia; Eubacteriales; Clostridiaceae.
GGGAGUAGAUAGGUGCUGGUGUGCCUACCGGUCUUCAAAACCGUGUUGCCGUGCUAAGACCACGACGGGUGAGUUCGAUUCUCACAUAUUCCCGCCA